CACGGUACUUAUCCGUGGAAGAACGUGUCACUU
This 33-nucleotide small RNA is filed under the name Bombyx mori (domestic silkworm). Its description in RNAcentral is "ovarian small RNA-13031". The record is from RNAcentral. Lineage: Eukaryota; Metazoa; Arthropoda; Insecta; Lepidoptera; Bombycidae.